Long non-coding RNA from Perognathus longimembris pacificus (Pacific pocket mouse), 440 nucleotides. RefSeq lists it as uncharacterized. The record is from RefSeq and is a predicted model, not a curated record. Lineage: Eukaryota; Metazoa; Chordata; Mammalia; Rodentia; Heteromyidae. The transcript is spliced from 3 exons.
CUCUGGCUGCACAUCAGGGUGUUCAUGUGACAGAGGGCAGGGUGAGAGCAGCUGCAGAUGAGGUACCUGUGCUCCCACAGUCUCCACCUGGUUAUCAGUAAUAGGAAUGACAACACUACUCCUGGCAGGUCUGCCAGUGACCUCCACUGAAGUGCCCUCCAAUCAUCUCUUCCCUCGGUGGAUGAUAUCAACUGGUGCCUUGUUCAUAGCUGGCAAGCUUCUCUCUAGUUCACCACAGUCUCCUACCCAUCAAGGGAUACAUGCUUACCAAGAGUCAAGUGGGAUCACUCCUCAAACUGUUUAUGAUGGUCCUAUUUGCUGAUGAAAAUAGAACAUUCAGGGUGGGGACGUAGCUCAGAGAUAGAACAGUUGCCUAGCAUGUGCAAAAGAUCUAGGUUUGAUCUCCAGCACCACAAAAAGAAAAGAAAACUUAAUUAAAC